Molecule: ribosomal RNA, 434 nt
Filed under: uncultured bacterium
Lineage: Bacteria
Description: partial 16S ribosomal RNA
Rfam family: Bacterial small subunit ribosomal RNA
Source: RNAcentral
AACGAACGCUGGCGGCAUGCCUAACACAUGCAAGUCGAACGAGGUCUUCGGGUCUAGUGGCGCACGGGUGCGUAACGCGUGGGAAUCUGCCCUCAGGUUCGGAAUAACCAUUGGAAACGAUGGCUAAUACCGGAUGAUGACGUUAAGUCCAAAGAUUUAUCGCCUGAGGAUGAGCCCGCGUAGGAUUAGCUAGUUGGUGUGGUAAAGGCGCACCAAGGCGACGAUCCUUAGCUGGUCUGAGAGGAUGAUCAGCCACACUGGGACUGAGACACGGCCCAGACUCCUACGGGAGGCAGCAGUGGGGAAUAUUGGACAAUGGGCGAAAGCCUGGUCCAGCAAUGCCGCGUGAGUGAUGAAGGCCUUAGGGUUGUAAAGCUCUUUUACCCGGGAUGAUAAUGACAGUACCGGGAGAAUAAGCUCCGGCUAACUCCGUG